Molecule: ribosomal RNA, 303 nt
Filed under: Rhinusa griseohirta
Lineage: Eukaryota; Metazoa; Arthropoda; Insecta; Coleoptera; Curculionidae
Description: partial 16S ribosomal RNA
Source: RNAcentral
AAGGUAGCAUAAUCAUUAGUUUYUUAAUUGGAAGCUGGAAUGAAAGGUUGGAUGAGAAAAUAACUGUCUCUAUUUAAAUUUWUUAGAAUUUUWUUUUUAAGUAAAAAAGCUUAAAUAAUAAUUGAAGACGAGAAGGCCCUAUAGAGUUUUAUAAAWAUAGUUAUUUAAAAUUUUAGUAUUAUAAAAGUUAAUAGCUUAUUUUAUUUAAUUGGGGKGAUUGAAAAAUUGAGUUAACUUUUUCUUUAUAAAAACMUUGAUUUAUGAAUAAUUGAUCCUUUUUUUAAGAUUAUAAGAUAAAAUUWC